UACGAGUGGCCCAAGCGUUAUCCGGAAUUAUUGGGCGUAAAGGGUAUGUAGGUGGUUAUUUUAGUCUGGUGUCUAACCUCUGGGCUCAACCUGGAGACAGCAUUGGAAACGGUAUGACUAGAGUAUGUUAGGGGUGAGCGGAACUCAUAGUGUAGGGGUGAAAUCCGUUGAUAUUAUGGGGAACACCAAAAGCGAAGGCAGCUCACUGGGACAUUACUGACACUGAAAUAUGAAAGCGUGGGUAGCGAAUGGG
Molecule: ribosomal RNA, 253 nt
Filed under: uncultured bacterium
Lineage: Bacteria
Description: partial 16S ribosomal RNA
Rfam family: Bacterial small subunit ribosomal RNA
Source: RNAcentral